CACUGGGAGGACUGAAGGACAGCGGUGGGCUUGUUCUUUGACUCCAUGUUGUGUUUAGGAUUUGGCCAGCAGCAAAGCGACACGAUGAUGGGGACUGAGCUGUUUUCUUCGGAGACCCUCUCUCUGCCCCGUUACAAGACCGGCAAAGAUGAGCUCGCCUUGCAUCCCGGGCACACCAAGGUCAUCGAAAGGAUGUCGAGGAGGAGUAAACAAUGGAAGUGGUGGCGUUGUUAAUGGUUAAGUAGCAAAACAACUAGGAGCGGUAAGUUAGUUGUUGUUGUACUACCUGACACGUACGAGGUAG
This is a long non-coding RNA of Lolium rigidum, 304 nucleotides long. RefSeq lists it as uncharacterized. The record is from RefSeq and is a predicted model, not a curated record. NCBI's taxonomy places the organism in Eukaryota, Viridiplantae, Streptophyta, Magnoliopsida, Poales, Poaceae. The transcript has 3 exons.